This 556-nucleotide ribosomal RNA is filed under the name uncultured Glomus. RNAcentral's name for it is "SSU rRNA". It matches the Rfam family "Eukaryotic small subunit ribosomal RNA", at positions 548 to 1103 of the family's 1831-position model. Lineage: Eukaryota; Fungi; Glomeromycota; Glomeromycetes; Glomerales; Glomeraceae. The record is from RNAcentral.
UUGGAGGGCAAGUCUGGUGCCAGCAGCCGCGGUAAUUCCAGCUCCAAUAGCGUAUAUUAAAGUUGUUGCAGUUAAAAAGCUCGUAGUUGAACUUCGGGGUUCACCCAUUGGUCAGGCUUAAUUGUCUGUACUGGUGAGAUGAAUCUCUACCUUCUGAGGAACUUUCAUGCCAUUUAUUUGGUGUGAUUGGAAAUCAGGACUGUUACUUUGAAAAAAUUAGAGUGUUUAAAGCAGGCUAACGUCUGAAUACAUUAGCAUGGAAUAAUGAAAUAGGACGGAUUGAUUCUAUUUCGUUGGUUUCUAGGAUCACCAUAAUGAUUAAUAGGGAUAGUUGGGGGCAUUAGUAUUCAAUUGUCAGAGGUGAAAUUCUUGGAUUUAUUGAAGACUAACUACUGCGAAAGCAUUUGCCAAGGAUGUUUUCAUUAAUCAAGAACGAAAGUUAGGGGAUCGAAGACGAUCAGAUACCGUCGUAGUCUUAACCAUAAACUAUGCCGACUAGGGAUCGGACGCAGUUAAUUUUAUAAUGACGUGUUCGGCACCUUACGGGAAACCAAAG